Molecule: ribosomal RNA, 289 nt
Filed under: uncultured bacterium
Lineage: Bacteria
Description: partial 16S ribosomal RNA
Rfam family: Bacterial small subunit ribosomal RNA
Source: RNAcentral
GUGGAUUAGAUACCCUGGUAGUCCACACCGUAAACGUUGGGCGCUAGGUGUGGGACUCAUUCCACGAGUUCCGUGCCGCAGCUAACGCAUUAAGCGCCCCGCCUGGGGAGUACGGCCGCAAGGCUAAAACUCAAAGGAAUUGACGGGGGCCCGCACAAGCGGCGGAGCAUGCGGAUUAAUUCGAUGCAACGCGAAGAACCUUACCUAGGUUUGACAUAUGCGAGAAUCCCCUGGAGACAGGGGCCUCUUUGGACACUCGUAUACAGGUGGUGCACGGUCGUCGUCAGCU